CACUCCUGCGGGAGGCAGCAGUGGGGAAUUUUGGACAAUGGGCGAAAGCCUGAUCCAGCCAUGCCGCGUGCAGGAUGAAGGCCUUCGGGUUGUAAACUGCUUUUGUACGGAACGAAACGGCCUUUUCUAAUAAAGAGGGCUAAUGACGGUACCGUAAGAAUAAGCACCGGCUAACUACGUGCCAGCAGCCGCGGUAAUACGUAGGGUGCAAGCGUUAAUCGGAAUUACUGGGCGUAAAGCGUGCGCAGGCGGUUAUGUAAGACAGUUGUGAAAUCCCCGGGCUCAACCUGGGAACUGCAUCUGUGACUGCAUAGCUAGAGUACGGUAGAGGGGGAUGGAAUUCCGCGUGUAGCAGUGAAAUGCGUAGAUAUGCGGAGGAACACCGAUGGCGAAGGCAAUCCCCUGGACCUGUACUGACGCUCAUGCACGAAAGCGUGGGGAGCAAACAGGAUUAGAUACCCCUGUAGUCCCAUGA
This 475-nucleotide ribosomal RNA is filed under the name uncultured organism. Its description in RNAcentral is "partial 16S ribosomal RNA". It matches the Rfam family "Bacterial small subunit ribosomal RNA", at positions 334 to 800 of the family's 1533-position model. The record is from RNAcentral.